GCGAGAGUAGUUCAUCGGUAGAACGUCUCNNGCGGGUUCAAUUCCCGUCUCUCGCUCCA
RNAcentral lists this transfer RNA (59 nucleotides) under Candidatus Berkelbacteria bacterium. RNAcentral's name for it is "tRNA-Leu". It matches the Rfam family "tRNA". From Rfam's summary of the family: Transfer RNA (tRNA) molecules are approximately 80 nucleotides in length. Lineage: Bacteria; Candidatus Berkelbacteria. The record is from RNAcentral.